Molecule: RNase P RNA, 325 nt
Filed under: bovine gut metagenome
Description: Bacterial RNase P class A
Rfam family: Bacterial RNase P class A
About the family: Ribonuclease P (RNase P) is a ubiquitous endoribonuclease, found in archaea, bacteria and eukarya as well as chloroplasts and mitochondria. Its best characterised activity is the generation of mature 5'-ends of tRNAs by cleaving the 5'-leader elements of precursor-tRNAs. Cellular RNase Ps are ribonucleoproteins.
Source: RNAcentral
AGCGGGUUGGGCAGUCGCGGCGCGAAGCGCUGAGGAAAGUCCGAGCUCCACACGGCAGGAUAACGGCUAACGGCCGCCGAGGGUGACCUCAGGGAAAGUGCAACAGAAAUAAACCGCCGAUUUUCGGUAAGGAUGGAAAGGCGAGGUAAGAGCUCACCGGUGCGCCGGAGACGGCGCAGCCAUGUAAACCCUAUCCGGAGCAACAUCGACAGGAUCGACGCGUCAGCCGGGCGCAUAUCCGAAGGAUGGCAUGAGUCCGAGGGCGACCUCGGGCCAAGACAGAUGAUUGCCUUAAAUGACAAAACUCGGCUUACAGAUCCGCUUG